CCUACGGGCGGCAGCAGUGAGGAAUAUUGGUCAAUGGGCGAGAGCCUGAACCAGCCAAGUCGCGUGAAGGAUGACGGCCCUACGGGUUGUAAACUUCUUUUGUCAGGGAGCAAUUGGGUCCACGCGUGGGCUUAGCGAGAGUACCUGAAGAAAAAGCAUCGGCUAACUCCGUGCCAGCAGCCGCGUUAAUACGGAGUAUGCGAGCGUUAUCCGGAUUUAUUGGGUUUAAAGGGUGCGUAGGCGGAAUAUCAAGUCAGCGGUAAAAUUUCGGGGCUCAACCCCGUCGUGCCGUUGAAACUGAUGUUCUUGAGUGGGCGAGAAGUAUGCGGAAUGCGUGGUGUAGCGGUGAAAUGCAUAGAUAUCACGCAGAACUCCGAUUGCGAAGGCAGCAUACCGGCGCCCAACUGACGCUGAAGCACGAAAGCGUGGGUAUCGAACAGGAUUAGAUACCCUAGUAGUC
Molecule: ribosomal RNA, 460 nt
Filed under: uncultured bacterium
Lineage: Bacteria
Description: partial 16S ribosomal RNA
Rfam family: Bacterial small subunit ribosomal RNA
Source: RNAcentral